Molecule: long non-coding RNA, 487 nt
Filed under: Lactuca sativa (garden lettuce)
Lineage: Eukaryota; Viridiplantae; Streptophyta; Magnoliopsida; Asterales; Asteraceae
Description: long non-coding RNA (LSAT_LNC005753)
Source: RNAcentral
AAAAGUUUGAAAAAUGGGAUAGCUUUGAACUUAGUGGGUAUGGGUGCUGCUAUUUUAGGGAUGCAGGCCACUGUAGGAUUCCUGGUGGCUAAGGCUCUUACUACUUCAGCUACACCAUAUUACCAAGGUACCCCUCCUGGGGUUAGCCCUGUUCUUGCUUUGGAUGUGUUCUUGGUUCAGGUCAGAUUUGUAAUUUGUUUAUUUAUUUAUUUAUUAUUAUUUUUUUAAUGAAUUAUUUGAUGAUUUAUAGGCGAGUGCGAAUACGAUCUUGUCACAUUUCUUGGGGCUUUUGUUUUCGUUGGAGUUACUGCGGUCAGUUACAGUGCCAGAGAACACACCGGUUCCUAGGGCGGCUUGAGGUUUUUCGUGUUUUUUCCAGGGGUAUUAUGGUAAUUUGCUUUUGGAACAAUUUGGUGGACAUUUUGUAGUGUGGUUUAAGUUAUAUAACUAGGGUUGUGGUGUUUUCUUCCCAUGAGUUAAAGAAAUG